AUUCCUACGGGAGGCAGCAGUGGGGAAUCUUGCGCAAUGGUCGAAAGACUGACGCAGCGACGCCGCGUGCGGGAGGAAGCCCUUCGGGGUGUAAACCGCUGUUACUCGGGACGAAUAUCCCGAUUUGUCGGGAUUGACGGUACCGGGGGAGGAAGCACCGGCUAACUCUGUGCCAGCAGCCGCGGUAAUACAGAGGGUGCGAGCGUUGUCCGGAAUCACUGGGCGUAAAGGGCGCGUAGGCGGCUUUUCACGCGUGCGGUGAAAGCUCGGGGCUUAACUCCGAGUCUGCCGUGCGAACGGGGAGGCUUGAGUCUGGUAGAGGUCGAUGGAAUUCCGGGUGUAGCGGUGGAAUGCGUAGAGAUCCGGAAGAACACCGGUGGCGAAGGCGGUCGACUGGGCCAGUACUGACGCUGAGGCGCGACAGCGUGGGGAGCAAACAGGAUUAGAUACCCUGGUAGUCCACGCCGUAAACGAUGUCGACUAGUUGUCGGAGGGUAACUCCUUCGGUAACGCAGCUAACGCGUGAAGUCGACCGCCUGGGGAGUACGGUCGCAAGAUUAAAACUCAAAGGAAUUGACGGGGACCCGCACAAGCGGUGGAUGAUGUGGAUUAAUUCGAUGCAACGCGAAAAACCUUACCUACCCUUGACAUGUCAGGAAGUCGCCAGAGAUGGCUUCGUGCUCGAAAGAGAACCUGAACACAGGUGCUGCAUGGCUGUCGUCAGCUCGCGUCGUGAGAUGUUGGGUUAAGUCCCGCAACGAGCGCAACCCUUAUCCUUAGUUGCCAGCGAGUAAUGUCGGGAACUCUAAGGAAACUGCCGGUGAUAAACCGGAGGAAGGUGAGGAUGACGUCAAGUCCUCAUGGCCUUUAUGCCCAGGGCUACACACGUGCUACAAUGGCCGGUACAAAGAGUUGCAAGCCCGCGAGGGGGAGCCAAUCUCAAAAAGCCGGUCUCAGUUCAGAUUGUAGGCUGCAACUCGCCUACAUGAAGGCGGAAUCGCUAGUAAUCCCGGAUCAGCAUGCCGGGGUGAAUACGUUCCCGGGCCUUGUACACACCGC
This 1059-nucleotide ribosomal RNA is filed under the name uncultured Tepidimonas sp. Its description in RNAcentral is "bacterial SSU rRNA". It matches the Rfam family "Bacterial small subunit ribosomal RNA", at positions 335 to 1393 of the family's 1533-position model. The record is from RNAcentral. Lineage: Bacteria; Pseudomonadati; Pseudomonadota; Betaproteobacteria; Burkholderiales.